This 289-nucleotide ribosomal RNA is filed under the name uncultured Rickettsiales bacterium. Its description in RNAcentral is "partial 16S ribosomal RNA". It matches the Rfam family "Bacterial small subunit ribosomal RNA", at positions 31 to 331 of the family's 1533-position model. The record is from RNAcentral. Lineage: Bacteria; Pseudomonadati; Pseudomonadota; Alphaproteobacteria; Rickettsiales.
GAACGCUGGCGGUGUGCUUAACACAUGCAAGUCGAACGGGCAAGAGCUGUAGCAAUACAGAAUUCUGCUAGUGGCAAACGGGUGAGUAAUACAUGGGAAUCUACCUUGCAGUGCGAAAUAACAGUUGGAAGCAAUUGCUAAUGUCGCAUAUAGCCGAGAGGUGAAAGAUUUAUCGCUGCAAGACGAGCCCAUGCAGGAUUAGCUAGUUGGUGGGGUAAUGGCUCACCAAGGCGAUGAUCAGUAGGGGUUCUGAGAGGAUUGGCCCCCACAUGGGUACUGAGAUACGGAC